Molecule: ribosomal RNA, 253 nt
Filed under: uncultured bacterium
Lineage: Bacteria
Description: partial 16S ribosomal RNA
Rfam family: Bacterial small subunit ribosomal RNA
Source: RNAcentral
UACGUAGGGUGCAAGCGUUAAUCGGAAUUACUGGGCGUAAAGCGUGCGCAGGCGGUUGUGUAAGACAGAUGUGAAAUCCCCGGGCUCAACCUGGGAACUGCAUUUGUGACUGCACGGCUCGAGUGCGGCAGAGGGGGAUGGAAUUCCGCGUGUAGCAGUGAAAUGCGUAGAUAUGCGGAGGAACACCGAUGGCGAAGGCAAUCCCCUGGGCCUGCACUGACGCUCAUGCACGAAAGCGCGGGGAGCAAACAGG